Pseudopipra pipra is the source of this 1446-nucleotide long non-coding RNA. RefSeq lists it as uncharacterized. NCBI's taxonomy places the organism in Eukaryota, Metazoa, Chordata, Aves, Passeriformes, Pipridae. The transcript is spliced from 2 exons. The record is from RefSeq and is a predicted model, not a curated record.
CCCCCACUUGAGAGCACUUGCUCACAGCUCCGUAAGCGGGUUUAUUACCCACGGAGCCUGUGUGCUAAUUGCAUUACUAAGCAAAGUCCUCAUUAGACAGGAGGCCAAAAGGGAGCACCAAGUUAGUGUCAAGCAUGUGUUUGUGGGGAGAAUUUACAUUGACGCUUGUGUUUAAUGCUCCAGCUGCGGCAUAUUGCAGACCCCAGGUGGUGCUGGCAGGAUUUCAGGUUGGGAGGGAGCUCUUCUGGAGCCAUGGAGACCCAUGUGGGAUGGAUUAACAUUUGAUGGAGCUGUUGCAAUACCACCCAGCUCACUGGAGUGAAGGCUAAGCAUGCUGCAGAGCCUGUGGCACGUUAGUCCUGUCUCAAUUUGUCCUGCAAAGCUUGGUGGUUUCUUGUUGGCUUGCAGAGCAAGCUGUCCUCAUCCUGCUUGUAAACAUUGGCAUUCCACUCCCUCAUCAAUGGCUUGGCAUGAACAGCAUGAGCUUCCACCUUUAUCUACUGCCAUGCUUUUUGGGGAGGGAGGCUGCGGGCUGGUGAGGGGACAGGGAUGGGACCACAGGCACAUGUGGAAGAGGAGGACUACAAAGAUGAUUAAAGGACUGGAGCUUCUCUCCUACAAGGAAAGGCUGAGGGAGCUGGGGCUGUUCAGCCUCCAGAGGAGACACUGAGAGGGGACCUCCCCCAGGUCUGUAGGGUCUGCAGGGAGGGGGCAGAGGAUGGACCAGGCUCUGCUUGGGGGGGCCCAGCAAUGGCACAAGAGGAAUGGGCAGGAACUGAUGCCCAAGAAGUUGCACCUGGAUAUGAGGAAGAACUUUUUUGCUGGGCAGUGACUGAGCACUGGAACAGGUUGCCCAGAGAGGGUGUAGAGUCUAUUUCACAGAAGAUAUUCCAGAACCCUCUGGACACUGUCCUGUGCCAUGUGCUCUGGGAUAGUCCCGCUUGUACAGAAAGGUUGGGACAGAUGACCUGCUGUGGUUCCUUCCAACCUGAACCAUUCUUUGUUUCUGAGGCUUGACUUGCAGAGAUUCUCAGGGCUCCUCAGGGGCACAGCCUCUGGCCCUCUCACCAGCAGCGAGCGUUUACCUUGGCUUGACCAUACACAUGGAAUUCUCAAACUUUAUAGCACAUCUUACCCUUUCUCUGCAUCUUUUUUUCACUAUUAUUUUUCCCCAUGCACUGAGCACUGGUUCAGAUAACAUUUUUAAAAUCUUGCAGUUUUGAGAUUUCCCAGCAUAUACUGGCAGAGUGCUGCUAUUUCCAAGUUCUCCCCUCAGGGCACACAGUCCCAGGCUGUGUCACUGCCAGACUUUGCUCGCUGAGCCAAAGACAAUGUCAUUGUGGAUGGAUGCAAAGGACUGCCUUCCUCAUUUGGCAGAUGAGAAACCCUGACCACUUUGAGUCACUUAAAGUAUUAAUGCCAUCUCCAAUAAAUGCUUUGCUUCUA